GAUGAACGCUGGCGGCGUGCCUAAUACAUGCAAGUCGAGCGAACGGACGAGAAGCUUGCUUCUCUGAUGUUAGCGGCGGACGGGUGAGUAACACGUGGAUAACCUACCUAUAAGACUGGGAUAACUUCGGGAAACCGGAGCUAAUACCGGAUAAUAUUUUGAACCGCAUGGUUCAAAAGUGAAAGACGGUCUUGCUGUCCCUUAUAGAUGGAUCCGCGCUGCAUUAGCUAGUUGGUAAGGUAACGGCUUACCAAGGCAACGAUGCAUAGCCGACCUGAGAGGGUGAUCGGCCACACUGGAACUGAGACACGGUCCAGACGCCUACGGGAGGCAGCAGUAGGGAAUCUUCCGCAAUGGGCGAAAGCCUGACGGAGCAACGCCGCGUGAGUGAUGAAGGUCUUCGGAUCGUAAAACUCUGUUAUUAGGGAAGAACAUAUGUGUAAGUAACUGUGCACAUCUUGACGGUACCUAAUCAGAAAGCCACGGCUAACUACGUG
Molecule: ribosomal RNA, 497 nt
Filed under: uncultured bacterium
Lineage: Bacteria
Description: partial 16S ribosomal RNA
Rfam family: Bacterial small subunit ribosomal RNA
Source: RNAcentral